GAUGAACGCUGGCGGCGUGCUUAACACAUGCAAGUCGAACGAUGAAAGCGGGAGCUUGCUCCUGCUGGAUUAGUGGCGAACGGGUGAGUAACACGUGAGUAACCUGCCCUUGACUCUGGGAUAAGCGUUGGAAACGACGUCUAAUACCGGAUACGACCUCCGAAGGCAUCUUCUGGAGGUGGAAAGAAUUUCGGUCAAGG
RNAcentral lists this ribosomal RNA (200 nucleotides) under uncultured bacterium. RNAcentral's name for it is "partial 16S ribosomal RNA". It matches the Rfam family "Bacterial small subunit ribosomal RNA", at positions 28 to 224 of the family's 1533-position model. The record is from RNAcentral.